AUCGCUUCUCGGCCUUUUGGCUAAGAUCAAGUGCAGUAUCUGUUCUUACCAGUUUAAUAUCUGAUACGAAGUCCUAACCACCAGCUCUGGUGUAAGACCUCUCAUAAAUACUAUCAAUUAAGGUCACUUACAAAUGAGGAACGUUCACGGACAACCUACCCAGGCACUGCGCAAGUGGUCACGUGACUCCUCUAACCUCCACGUUUUAAAAGGUGGGUGCUGCUAUU
This 227-nucleotide small nuclear RNA is filed under the name Suricata suricatta (meerkat). RNAcentral describes it as "U2 spliceosomal RNA (ENSSSUG00005023467.1)". The stretch from base 1 to 132 matches the Rfam family "U2 spliceosomal RNA". From Rfam's summary of the family: U2 is a small nuclear RNA (snRNA) component of the spliceosome (involved in pre-mRNA splicing). Complementary binding between U2 snRNA (in an area lying towards the 5' end but 3' to hairpin I) and the branchpoint sequence (BPS) of the intron results the bulging out of an unpaired adenosine, on the BPS, which initiates a nucleophilic attack at the intronic 5' splice site, thus starting the first of two transesterification reactions that mediate splicing. Lineage: Eukaryota; Metazoa; Chordata; Mammalia; Carnivora; Herpestidae. The record is from RNAcentral.